This 495-nucleotide ribosomal RNA is filed under the name uncultured bacterium. RNAcentral describes it as "partial 16S ribosomal RNA". It matches the Rfam family "Bacterial small subunit ribosomal RNA", at positions 30 to 507 of the family's 1533-position model. The record is from RNAcentral.
UGACCGCUGGCGGCGUGCCUAAUACAUGCACGUCGAGCGAACGGACGCGAAGCUUGCUUUUCUGAUGUUAGCGGCGGACGGGUGAGUAACACGUGGAUAACCUACCUAUAAGACUGGGAUAACUUCGGGAAACCGGAGCUAAUACCGGAUAAUAUUUUGAACCGCAUGGUUCAAAAGUGAAAGACGGUCUUGCUGUCACUUAUAGAUGGAUCCGCGCUGCAUUAGCUAGUUGGUAAGGUAACGGCUUACCAAGGCAACGAUGCAUAGCCGACCUGAGAGGGUGAUCGGCCACACUGGAACUGAGACACGGUCCAGACUCCUACGGGAGGCAGCAGUAGGGAAUCUUCCGCAAUGGGCGAAAGCCUGACGGAGCAACGCCGCGUGAGUGAUGAAGGUCUUCGGAUCGUAAAACUCUGUUAUUAGGGAAGAACAUAUGUGUAAGUAACUGUGCACAUCUUGACGGUACCUAAUCAGAAAGCCACGGCUAACUACGUG